GAAAUGCGAUAAGUAAUGCGAAUUGCAGAAUUCAGUGAGUCAUCGAAUCUUUGAACGCACAUUGCGCCCUGUGGUAUUCCGCAGGGCAUGCCUGUUCGAGCGUCAUUUCAACCCUCAAGCUCUGCUUGGUGUUGGGCCCUGCCCGUCGCGGCCGGCCCUAAAGUCAGUGGCGGUGCCGUUGGGCUCUAAGCGUAGUAAUGCUCUCGCUCUGGAGUCCCGCGGUAGCUUGCCAGCAACCCCCAACUUCUAUGGUUGACCUCGGAUCAGGUAGGGAUACCCGCUGAACUUAA
This 290-nucleotide unclassified non-coding RNA is filed under the name uncultured Oidiodendron. RNAcentral's name for it is "sequence contains ITS1". The stretch from base 1 to 105 matches the Rfam family "5.8S ribosomal RNA", at positions 50 to 154 of the family's 154-position model. Lineage: Eukaryota; Fungi; Ascomycota; Leotiomycetes; Myxotrichaceae. The record is from RNAcentral.